Molecule: ribosomal RNA, 685 nt
Filed under: uncultured soil bacterium
Lineage: Bacteria
Description: bacterial SSU rRNA
Rfam family: Bacterial small subunit ribosomal RNA
Source: RNAcentral
UGGCGGCAGGCCUAACACAUGCAAGUCGAACGAGAAGCCACCUUCGGGUGGUGGACAGUGGCAGACGGGUGAGUAACGCGUGGGAACGUGCCUUUCGGUUCGGGAUAACCCAGGGAAACUUGGGCUAAUACCGGAUACGCCCUUCGGGGGAAAGAUUCAUUGCCGAAAGAUCGGCCCGCGUCGGAUUAGCUAGUUGGUGGGGUAAAAGCCUACCAAGGCGACGAUCCGUAGCUGGUCUGAGAGGAUGACCAGCCACACUGGGACUGAGACACGGCCCAGACUCCUACGGGAGGCAGCAGUGGGGAAUAUUGGACAAUGGGCGCAAGCCUGAUCCAGCCAUGCCGCGUGGGUGAAGAAGGCCUUAGGGUUGUAAACCCCUUUCAGCGGGGAAGAUAAUGACGGUACCCGCAGAAGAAGUCCCGGCUAACUCCGUGCCAGCAGCCGCGGUAAUACGGAGGGGACUAGCGUUGUUCGGAAUUACUGGGCGUAAAGCGCACGUAGGCGGAUUUGUAAGUCAGGGGUGAAAUCCCGAGGCUCAACCUCGGAACUGCCUUUGAUACUGCAAAUCUCGAGUCCGGAAGAGGUGAGUGGAAUUCCUAGUGUAGAGGUGAAAUUCGUAGAUAUUGGGAAGAACACCAGUGGCGAAGGCGGCUAACUGGUCCGGUACUGACGCUGAGGUGCGAAA